RNAcentral lists this long non-coding RNA (2103 nucleotides) under Dermacentor andersoni. Its description in RNAcentral is "uncharacterized LOC126521846". Lineage: Eukaryota; Metazoa; Arthropoda; Arachnida; Ixodida; Ixodidae. The record is from RNAcentral.
GGUUUCAACUUACUUGUUUCGCCAAAACAUCAGAAUGAUAGGCCUGCAUGCGUAAAUGACAAAUGGAGUAAAUGACACGCUCUCAGAGGCACCAAAAUAGGACAAAUAAGGUGUGAAACAAGAAAACAAACAAACAGGAAUUUGCGGCUCCUUUGAGAAAGAGUGACGAGAAAACAAAUAUAAAACAAAAAGUAAAAGAAGUUCCACAGAACUGGGCAACCGGAGUCCACGAUUCGUUGGAUAUAAAGCUGCUGCCUGUGGUGAAAAAUGCACAAGAAAAAGAUUCCAACUUGAUCUUUACCACACCUGCUUUACAAUCUGCAAAUUUUUUUUAUAUGCUAUAUACAUAUAUAAGAAAAAGCCAGUCCUAGUGUUAGGGCGAAAGGACAGUAGUGUGAGUAUUGGGUGAUCAAUCUGUAUGUUAGUAUUCAAUCUUCCCAAGCUGUCUGCAGCGGUCGAACAAGUACAGUGCUGGUUAACAAUUGAAGUCCAUAUGCACAAGUGCAUGCUAGUAAGUGAACCGACAGUCUGAAAGCAUGCAAAAUACACCGAAUAUGAAUGCACUAUUAUUGUACGUUUACUAAGAAGCUUUACAAAUUGAGCAACCUAGUUAAAGAAACAUGGCUGGACAACAUUUGAUGGUUGCAAGUGUGGGUAAGUAUGGCCAAUAAUUAUGACAGUGGCAAAGUAGUAAAAUAUGAACAUAUUAGCCCUCUGGCUCAUGAAGCUAGCUUGAAGAAGUGGUAGGAUGGAUAGCCAUGUAAUUCAAAAUUUAUGUAGGACAGCAGUUCUCGAAUUGAAGUAAAAAUCAAGGGACAAUACAAAACAAAGAAAAAAAUAUAAUUACUUGAAACCAAGGGGAGAUAGGUGUAGCUGAGGGUGUAGCCGAGCUUACUUGAGAAAUAAUGCCGUUACUCACAAGACUUACAACAGCAACCAGCCAAUGAAAUGCAACAAGUGGCAAGGAGAUAGCUCAAACCUUUGCCACAAGCAAAUGGCACUUUGUAGAUAGCUAGUCUCACCGAAAACAUGUCAGCUACCAUCCUAAGUGCGAUGCGUGUCAAUGUGUUAAAAGGCACAGAUUAGCCCAAAUUGCACAUUCCGCAACUGUCCUAGGCACAACUAGCUGCACAAUCAGCUAACAGAAAGUGGUUCUGCGGGAAGGUACUAGCUCAAGCCGUGCACAAUGCAAGUUGGUUUUCUGCACAAUGCAAACGUUGCCUGAAUUGCAAGCUGAAACAACAAGCACUAGGCCAAUGCAAGGUACAGCAAGCCUAUGCCACCACAAAACCUGCAGACAAGAUCUCAUUCUCAAGCAACAUUUCAGGUUGCUGUUUACUUUCAGCACCGCUGUAAGUAAUGCAUAAAGCUCCAAAUGUAAAUUGCUAAAGAUAAAGAAACUGGUGAUGCAAGAGUCUUGAACCAAUGUCAGAAGGCCAAAGUUAAACAAGCUACGGUCCCAAAGAUUUUAUCUUGCGCAUAAAAUGUGUCAACAUCACCAGCAACCAAGGUUGUGCUUCUUAAUCAGAUAAAAUGCACAGUUCACAGUGAUCAUGAAUAACCUGUCAAAUGGUUCAUGCUUUUUCCAGUGAUCGUGAGACCCCUGGCAGCCAUAAGCUCAUAAAAAGUGAGCUACCAAGCAUUUGUGUUAUCGCUCAAGCACCUUGGACCAACUUGUAAGCCAACACUGAAUGCAACAUUUCCAGUGACAUGCUGCAUAACAAAUGCAAGGUGUCAAAGCUCAUGCUGGGUUAUGAAGUUAUGUACCAUGUUAUAGUCAUUACAUUCUUCUUUUAUUAAUAUGACAACUAGUAACUUUUCUUUGCCAUUUAAGCGAUUUCUCCUCAGUUUCAUCAGCAUUACAAGUCUUGAGCACCUCAAGAAAUCAUGGUCAUAUUGCACUUCAUUCCUGGGAUGAUAAAGAAGUUCUUGAAUUCUGUGCUGCCCAAACACUGGACUAAAGUUUAAGUGUGCAGUGCAACUAGGUCAACAACAUCUUUCCUAAUGUAUUAUGUACUGUAUUGCGAGAAAAACAAGCUAGGUUAUCUACUGCUCUUGCAACGAUCGUGUCCCACAUGGUCACCAUGCCCGAAAGAAAUAAAA